CACACGAGAACGGGCUCUCCUCUCUCUCCCUCGCCUCCCGAUCCCAGCCGCCAGGAGGCGCCCCACCCCACGCGGCGGUCGAUCCGGUGCCGCGCCGGCGAGCCGGCCGGCAUCCGCGCCUUCGGAGUCCUCCUCGGCGCCUUUCUGCAUGGGGACGCAGACGGAGGAGCUCGCAGCCAGGUUGGCGGCCAGGGGCCCCCAGCGGCAUCGGCGGACCAGGAGGAGGAGGAGGACGCGGGCCUGGGCGGACCGGGAGGAGGAGGAGGACACGGACUUGGGCGUCGUGCCGGCGGUCGUCGCGGCGCUGGCCGAGCCCGGCGCGUCACCGGCCGCGCUCGUCCAUGCGGCGGCCGCGGCGAUGAGCUUUGCUUGCGGCGUAGACGAUGGCGCGUGGGCCGUGCUUGCUGCUGGCGCCAUGGGGCACCUUACGCGGCUCCCCGCCCACCCCCACAACAAGAUUAUAUAGCAACAACCAGGAACUACCAUACAACCACACAUUCCACCUAUGAGUAUGAAGAUCUGUGACAAGGAAAGAGCAAUCAUGAGGCCUUAUAUGCUUAGCUAUCUCAUCCAUUGAUGAUCUCUUUCAAGGAACAGAAGGACUUCUUGUUCAUUUAGAGAGGAUCAAUCUUUUGAUUUUUUGUUACUUAAUAGACUAAAUCUUGAGCAUUGGAGGAGGUAGCACCUGGACUGGUGAAGACGCAAACGGGGACAUGAGGAGGUUCAUGGUGGUUCCAGGCUCAUCUCUUCGGUGAGCAGCAGUGCGCUACGUUGGACAGUUACCAAGGCUGGACGGAGGUGUGCCCGUGCGGCCGGACGGUGUCGUCCUGGUCGAGCAGAUCGCCGUACCAAGGCUGCCUGCCGGACUCCAAUUCCCUACCGUUGUCAAGCUCUAGAUCAAGCUCCACAUGGACCUGUCUAUCCGUGCGAUACUGCGUUUCCUCUGGUGGCCGUCUGUUCCGCUUGGCGUUUCGUCUGGAUCUGAGAGGAGAAGGCCUCAAGGAGGGAGACGGGGAGGUUCAUGGAACCAUGGAAGUUUUCAGUUGAGAUUAGUUGAAAGAAAAGGGAAAUUUCCCAUGCUGCCAUGCGAGAGUCAGAGGUGGGUGAGUUCCCUCAUCCCGGCUGUAGCAACAUUGGUCACCACUCUAUGCGCAUCUGUGCCGCCAAAAUCAGAUUUCAUCUAGGUGUAUCAAGCAGAUUGUGAAGAAAAUGCACGUGAAGAUGGUUCCUCGGUAUGAGAAUCCGAUUAACAUUCUCUUCAAGAAUUAAGGCAAAUUGUUUGUAUGUAAUUAACCCUCUCCUGUGAAGAUUCAGAAUCAUAAAAGAUAGUAUUCAGGUACGUGUACGUCCGCUCGAACGCAAUCACAUUCCGGAACAGUGACUUGCUGGAGUCGUUGAGCUCUAGCUGUGGGAUCUCCAGCAGCUCAAGUCUAGGAAGCUCGUCACAAUCUUCCUUCAAUUUCACUGCCGAUGUUCUAGCUAUUUUGUAGGUACAGAUGGACAGGCUUCAUGUUCAGGAAUUUGACACACGCGGUGGAGAUUUAAUGGACUAAGUACCUUUUUUUAGGUAACAUCGUGAUUAAUUACCGACACGUGCAGUUAUUGGCUGCAUUCUAUUAGUCAUACAGAGAGCCACACUGACAAAUUUCUAUUUAGAGGAAGUAGGCACAAGUAGACUGGAAAAACACAAAACAGCGGGAGAUGUCAUGUUCAGCAGCGACAACACCAUUGCUCUUCAUGUUUUAAGUUAAACCUGUAUUACUUCAGAAUGAUUAGUCAAAGAUCGGUGAUUGUUAGAGGCCUGAAGUUAAUGUGAGAGGAAGGAGCAUGAGCGGUCUUUUCAAUACAGCGUGUGUGCAUUUGCCGAUUCUGCUGAUGUUAAUUUUUCCUUACUGGCAUAGGUUGUCAAGGAUUGUUCUAUCCGUCUUAAGAGAAAUGUGUUCAAAGUGAA
Molecule: RNA transcript, 1951 nt
Organism: Triticum aestivum (bread wheat)
Lineage: Eukaryota; Viridiplantae; Streptophyta; Magnoliopsida; Poales; Poaceae
Exons: 5
Source: RefSeq, a predicted model, not a curated record